Molecule: long non-coding RNA, 2221 nt
Organism: Coturnix japonica (Japanese quail)
Lineage: Eukaryota; Metazoa; Chordata; Aves; Galliformes; Phasianidae
Source: RefSeq, a predicted model, not a curated record
GGAUGGGAGCGGGGCUGACCGCCACACCGGGGGGACAUGGGGGGAGGCGGCGGGUGUGCGAGCUGCGGCCGAGGCUCUGCCCUCCCCUCUGACCGCUGUGUGAGGGGGCACGGCCGGGCGGCAGGCGCUUUUUUUCUCUGUUUUUUCGAGGUUUGUUUUGUUUUGUUUUGUGUUUUGUGUGGGUUUUUUUUUUUGGCUGGGGUUGGGGGUGUUGUUUUUGCCCCCCUCUCGUUUCCUGGGAGUCGUGUCGCUGCCUCCACACUCUCGCAGCAGCUGCCAAAGGCCGACAGGUCCCUCAGGUACCCGCCCGGCGGAGCCCCCCGAGCCGAGCAGCUGUCUCUCUUAAAACGCCUAUAAAACUGGAUCCCUGCGUUAUGGCUGCGGUGAGAUGACAGAACACCUCCGUGCUUUUGAGAAGCUCCAUCUCGUUCUGCUGAAGGACUGCAGCUCCAGACUCAGAUCAAUGUGCUUUCAAGUUGGCUUUACAGGUCUGAUGGGGACCGUUCCAGUGUCCCUUGGAACUGGAUUUGGAUUUUUCCCCUGUGCUCUGCAGAGGCCAGGCAGAAAUGAAGACAGCAGUUAUGGUCAAGCAGAUAAAGAUCUGAAAAUGGCAGAUUCUUGCUGGAAAUUCAGAUGGCUCAACCUCCUGGGGAUCGUAACUGCAAGGAAGCCCUGAACACAAGCUAGGAGACAUGCCAAGUACCUUGGAGAAUCUAGGCUCUUUGCCAAAAAGAAUGAGUUUGAAAACCUGAGGCCACUUAGGGCUACUAGGCGCCCUGCCACGAAGCUGAGAUCUGAGCAGUUCUGAAAGGUGUGGCACAAAUUCUGGAAGAGUUGGAGCCCUCACUUCCUUCAGGGCUAAUGGAAAGCUGGUAGCCAAAAAGCCCUGGAGCCCUGGCUCUCCCAUGAGUUGCACACUUAGUUUAGUUUCUACAUUUUCAAAACAAAACUAAUUAUUAUGAGCUUACAGUGUUGCUGCUUUUUUUUCCCUCUUUCUUCUCAGACCUUGGCUUUCACGAGACAUUCAGAAAACAGAUUUCCAUUCUAUGAUAAAGUUCAUUCUGUUUUCUCAGAAAUUGCUUUUCUCAAAUUCCAAUAGAGAAAACCUAAUUUUCAAUCAGCUUCACUUGUGAUGUAUUCUAAAGCUAGUCAGGAAACCCCAUUAUAAUUAACAUGGGCAAUUAGUAAACACAAUUACAUACAGCAUUGAAUUGCCUCACAGACCCUGCAGCCUAACAUGCCAGUAGAUCUCUUUCACCUCUGGAAAACGAAACAGAUGUUUCUCAAUAGAAGCUUCAGCCUGCUUGCAAUAAUGGAUGUUCCAAGGCUUAGCACACAAGAUCUUUGUUAUUUUUUUGAACUCUCUCAGAAGCAGCAGUCAUGGGAAACGAACAGAAGUUAAGUGGUUUACCCUCUGCCACAAACAAGUCAGUGGUAGACCUGAGGUUAGAUAGCAAUGGUAAUUCUUCAUCUUAUUAAACAACAAAGUAAACUUUCUAGGCUGAUCAGUUGGCUGAGGAGUAGCAAGAUCUGAUUUUGCAGCAUGAAAAUUCCCCUGGAAUUCCUCCAGUGUCCUCCAACAUACAAAUGAUCUCAACUUUAAUCUUACUCUGUAAUUAUCCACGGCUAAUAUUUCAUCAACACAGACUCCUUAAACACAUGUAAUUUCUAAAGUAAGGAUAUUCCAACUAAUUCUUGGCUCAUUUUUAAUUUGAACCACAAAAGGAGAGUGAGUAGCAAACAGCACUAAGGAGAUGUUGAAAGUCCACAGCAGAUUGAUCUGAACUUUGUAGUUUCUCUGUGUAAUUGUUUGAUCUUGACAGUAUGGGAUUAAACAUCUCCAGUGCAUUUCUUAAGAAGCAGGCAUGCCUUGCUGUAGACCUUUGACAUAACUCCAUGCUAUUAGCAUAUAACCUCAGUGCAUGCUACUGUAAAGCCCUAAGUUUUUAACUUUAUUUACCAUGUGUCCUCUCAAUCACAGCCUCAAAAAUGUUCCUGUAACAAUAGAAUCAUGAAUUAUCCAGAAAAAGCAAAAAUGGAAGAAAAAAAUCACAAGACUACCAUUAUACAGGCAAUACAGUUUUAUUAUGUUCUUUCACCAAUUGUAGCAAAAAUGUUUAACAACUGAAUGAAUAAUCAAGGGAACUCAACUGUCAACAGGAAUUUCAGAAUUAUGUUCUAAAUUUUAGACCAGGAAGCCCUGACAGGGAGGAAAAAAAAA